Molecule: long non-coding RNA, 530 nt
Filed under: Homo sapiens (human)
Lineage: Eukaryota; Metazoa; Chordata; Mammalia; Primates; Hominidae
Description: HSALNT0406674
Source: RNAcentral
UUAGAGCCCUGCGUACCUAGAUCCCUGUGAACCUAGAUCCACUGUGUAUCUAGAUCCCUGCGUGCCUAGAUCCCUGCGUACCUAGAUCCCUGCGUACCUAGAUCCCUGCGUACCUAGAUCCCUGCAUACUUAGAGCCCUGCAUACCUAGAUCCCUGUGAACCUAGACCCACUGUGUAUCUAGAUCCCUGCAUACCUAGAUCCACUGCAUACCUAGAUCCCUAUAUACCUAGGUUCACUGUGUACCUAGAUCCCUGCGUACCUAGAUCCCUGCAUACCUAGAUCCCUGCGUACCUAGAUCCCUGCAUACUUAGAGCCCUGUGUACCUAGAUCCCUGUGAACCUAGACCCACUGUGUAUCUAGAUCCCUGCGUACCUAUAUCCACUGCAUACCUAGAUCCCUACAUACCUAGGUUCACUGCGUACCUAGAUCCCCGUGUACCUAGAUCCACUGCGUACCUAGAUCCCUACAUACCUAGAUCCACUGCGUACCUAGAUCCCUACGUACCUAGAUCCGCUGCAUUGGAAUGAUG